GAGUGAAAUAGAACCUGAAACCGUGUGCUUACAAGUAGUCAGAGCCCGUUAAUGGGUGAUGGCGUGCCUUUUGUAGAAUGAACCGGCGAGUUACGAUUUGAUGCAAGGUUAAGCAGUAAAUGUGGAGCCGUAGCGAAAGCGAGUCUGAAUAGGGCGUUUAGUAUUUGGUCGUAGACCCGAAACCAGGUGAUCUACCCUUGGUCAGGUUGAAGUUCAGGUAACACUGAAUGGAGGACCGAACCGACUUACGUUGAAAAGUGAGCGGAUGAACUGAGGGUAGCGGAGAAAUUCCAAUCGAACCUGGAGAUAGCUGGUUCUCUCCGAAAUAGCUUUAGGGCUAGCCUCAAGUGAUGAUUAUUGGAGGUAGAGCACUGUUUGGACGAGGGGCCCCUCUCGGGUUACCGAAUUCAGACAAACUCCGAAUGCCAAUUAAUUUAACUUGGGAGUCAGAACAUGGGUGAUAAGGUCCGUGUUCGAAAGGGAAACAGCCCAGACCACCAGCUAAGGUCCCAAAAUAUAUGUUAAGUGGAAAAGGAUGUGGCGUUGCCCAGACAACUAGGAUGUUGGCUUAGAAGCAGCCAUCAUUUAAAGAGUGCGUAAUAGCUCACUAGUCGAGUGACACUGCGCCGAAAAUGUACCGGGGCUAAACAUAUUACCGAAGCUGUGGAUUGUCCUUUGGACAAUGGUAGGAGAGCGUUCUAAGGGCGUUGAAGCAUGAUCGUAAGGACAUGUGGAGCGCUUAGAAGUGAGAAUGCCGGUGUGAGUAGCGAAAGACGGGUGAGAAUCCCGUCCACCGAUUGACUAAGGUUUCCAGAGGAAGGCUCGUCCGCUCUGGGUUAGUCGGGUCCUAAGCUGAGGCCGACAGGCGUAGGCGAUGGAUAACAGGUUGAUAUUCCUGUACCACCUAUAAUCGUUUUAAUCGAUGGGGGGACGCAGUAGGAUAGGCGAAGCGUGCGAUUGGAUUGCACGUCUAAGCAGUAAGGCUGAGUAUUAGGCAAAUCCGGUACUCGUUAAGGCUGAGCUGUGAUGGGGAGAAGACAUUGAGUCUUCGAGUCGUUGAUUUCACACUGCCGAGAAAAGCCUCUAGAUAGAAAAUAGGUGCCCGUACCGCAAACCGACACAGGUAGUCAAGAUGAGAAUUCUAAGGUGAGCGAGCGAACUCUCGUUAAGGAACUCGGCAAAAUGACCCCGUAACUUCGGGAGAAGGGGUGCUCUUUAGGGUUAACGCCCAGAAGAGCCGCAGUGAAUAGGCCCAAGCGACUGUUUAUCAAAAACACAGGUCUCUGCUAAACCGUAAGGUGAUGUAUAGGGGCUGACGCCUGCCCGGUGCUGGAAGGUUAAGAGGAGUGGUUAGCUUCUGCGAAGCUACGAAUCGAAGCCCCAGUAAACGGCGGCCGUAACUAUAACGGUCCUAAGGUAGCGAAAUUCCUUGUCGGGUAAGUUCCGACCCGCACGAAAGGCGUAACGAUUUGGGCACUGUCUCAACGAGAGACUCGGUGAAAUCAUAGUACCUGUGAAGAUGCAGGUUACCCGCGACAGGACGGAAAGACCCCGUGGAGCUUUACUGUAGCCUGAUAUUGAAAUUCGGCACAGCUUGUACAGGAUAGGUAGGAGCCUUUGAAACGUGAGCGCUAGCUUACGUGGAGGCGCUGGUGGGAUACUACCCUAGCUGUGUUGGCUUUCUAACCCGCACCA
This 1695-nucleotide ribosomal RNA is filed under the name Staphylococcus aureus M0566. RNAcentral's name for it is "bacterial LSU rRNA". It matches the Rfam family "Bacterial large subunit ribosomal RNA", at positions 536 to 2234 of the family's 2925-position model. Lineage: Bacteria; Bacillati; Bacillota; Bacilli; Caryophanales; Staphylococcaceae. The record is from RNAcentral.